UACGGGGGGGGCAAGCGUUGUUCGGAAUUACUGGGCGUAAAGGGCUCGUAGGCGGCCAACUAAGUCAGACGUGAAAUCCCCAGGCUUAACCUGGGAACUGCGUCUGAUACUGGAUGGCUUGAAUUCGGGAGAGGGAUGCAGAAUUCCAGGUGUAGCGGUGAAAUGCGUAGAUAUCUGGAGGAAUACCGGUGGCGAAGGCGGCGUCCUGGACCGAGAUUGACACUGAUGAGCGAAAGCGUGGGGAGCGAACAGG
RNAcentral lists this ribosomal RNA (253 nucleotides) under uncultured bacterium. Its description in RNAcentral is "partial 16S ribosomal RNA". It matches the Rfam family "Bacterial small subunit ribosomal RNA", at positions 524 to 776 of the family's 1533-position model. The record is from RNAcentral.